RNAcentral lists this ribosomal RNA (460 nucleotides) under uncultured bacterium. RNAcentral describes it as "partial 16S ribosomal RNA". It matches the Rfam family "Bacterial small subunit ribosomal RNA", at positions 338 to 795 of the family's 1533-position model. The record is from RNAcentral.
CCUACGGGAGGCAGCAGUGAGGAAUAUUGGUCAAUGGGCGCGAGCCUGAACCAGCCAAGUAGCGUGAAGGAUGACUGCCCUACGGGUUGUAAACUUCUUUUAUAAAGGAAUAAAGUGAGGCACGUGUGCCGUUUUGUAUGUACUUUAUGAAUAAGGAUCGGCUAACUCCGUGCCAGCAGCCGCGGGAAUACGGAGGAACCGAGCGUUAUCCGGGUUUAUUGGGUUUAAAGGGAGCGUAGAGGGGAUGUUAAGUCAGUUGGGAAAGUUUGGGGCUCAACCCUAAAAUUGCAAUUGAUACUGGCGGCCUUGAGUACAGUUGAGGUAGGCGGAAUUCGUGGUGUAGCGGUGAAAUGCUUAGAUAUCACGAAGAACUCCGAUUGCGAAGGCAGCUUACUAACCUGCCACUGACAUUGAUGCUCGAAAGUGUGGGUAUCAAACAGGAUUAGAUACCCGAGUAGUC